RNAcentral lists this ribosomal RNA (497 nucleotides) under uncultured bacterium. Its description in RNAcentral is "partial 16S ribosomal RNA". It matches the Rfam family "Bacterial small subunit ribosomal RNA", at positions 28 to 507 of the family's 1533-position model. The record is from RNAcentral.
GAUGAACGCUGGCGGCGUGCCUAAUACAUGCAAGUCGAGCGAACGGACGAGAAGCUUGCUUCUCUGAUGUUAGCGGCGGACGGGUGAGUAACACGUGGAUAACCUACCUAUAAGACUGGGAUAACUUCGGGAAACCGGAGCUAAUACCGGAUAAUAUUUUGAACCGCAUGGUUCAAAAGUGAAAGACGGUCUUGCUGUCACUUAUAGAUGGAUCCGCGCUGCAUUAGCUAGUUGGUAAGGUAACGGCUUACCAAGGCAACGAUGCAUAGCCGACCUGAGAGGGUGAUCGGCCACACUGGAACUGAGACACGGUCCAGACUCCUACGGGAGGCAGCAGUAGGGAAUCUUCCGCAAUGGGCGAAAGCCUGACGGAGCAACGCCGCGUGAGUGAUGAAGGUCUUCGGAUCGUAAAACUCCGUUAUUAGGGAAGAACAUAUGUGUAAGUAACUGUGCACAUCUUGACGGUACCUAAUCAGAAAGCCACGGCUAACUACGUG